Leopardus geoffroyi (Geoffroy's cat) is the source of this 7385-nucleotide long non-coding RNA. RefSeq lists it as uncharacterized. The record is from RefSeq and is a predicted model, not a curated record. NCBI's taxonomy places the organism in Eukaryota, Metazoa, Chordata, Mammalia, Carnivora, Felidae. The transcript is spliced from 3 exons.
GGCUUGAAUCCACAAACUCCGAGAUCGUGACCUGAGCUGAAGUCGGACACUUAACCUACUGAGCCACCCAGGCACCCCAGAUCUUGUUUUUUAAACCCAGGUUGAGAGUCUGUCUUUGAUUAGUAAAUUUAACUGGCAUACAUUUAGGGUAAUUGUGAUUAUAUUAGCACUUCUGGAGUAUUAUUUUAUGUUUUCUUUUUACCAUUAUUUUCGGGAGGGUAUCUUUCCUUGCAAUGUUUGAUUGGGUUGAUUUUUUUUUUUUCCCCCUCUGCUGGAUUUUAUAAUUAUGCCAUCUAUUUUCUUUUCCUGAAAUUCAGAAUCCAGAUUAUUCCUGAAAUGAUUAAGACCCACUCCUGUAUUUAUUUUUUCCUCUCCGUUUCUAAAGUCAGUAUCUCUGUCCUAUUAACACCAGCCCGUCUCCUCUCUGCUCGUUUUGGCUGCAUCCGUUUCAGUUCGGAUCCAUGAACUCUGCUUCAUCUGUGCAGGUUGCUGGGCUGGUUGAUUUCUUUUGUCUAGUGUUUCCUCUCCUUCAGAUUGUUUUUCCUUGUGACCCCUGAUCCCCUCGGCCUGGGCCCCAGGGUAUUAGCUGAUCCCUUGCCCCUGAGGGGGGAGAGUUAGGCCACAGCUUGUCAGUCACUGAGUUUGGUGGGUAGAGGGCUUGAAGGGGUGCACUGAGGCCCCUUAGGCAACCUCGGGGUCUUCUCUCCAGCCACACCUGUUUUCCUGGGGCUCCCUGCCUCUGAUGUCCUGGGCCGCAGAUCCCCCUGGGCAUGGGCCACCCUCAGGGAUUCUGAUUCUGCUAGUUUGGGGUGGGUAUUGGUACCUUUUAAAAGUUUCUCAUGAUAGGAAUAGGGUACAGUAUGGACUGAUUAUGAAUUGACAGCGGUUGAAUAUCCAACUAAAAUUCAUGCACAGCUAAAAUUCUGAUCACUUCCCAGCUAACACCCAGGAAUUCUGGGGGACGGCAUGGAGGAGGCCAGCUAGCUAGACCUGGGGCUAACUGCGAGAACAGUUAAAAUGGGUCUAUUAUGUUUCUGCUGGACAGCGCUGUUCUAACGUAGACCCUCGCUACUCAAAGAGGUCCACAAACCCGUUUGGGCAUCCCCUGGGAGCUUGUUAGAAGUGCAGAAUGUCAGGCCCCAGCCAGACCUCCUGAGUCAGAAUCUGCAUUUUUAUGAGAUUCCCCAGGUGAUUCAUAGACACAUUAGAAUUUGAGAAGCACUGGGCUAGAUCCUUAAAAGGGAGGGUUGGUUUCAUUUAAUUCAUAUUUUAAGAGAAUGACGCUUCCCUUAUCUGCUCCGAUGAGCUUUCCAGAACACAGGUAGCAGUCAGGGGGCUGAGCUGCCAGGGGAUGGCUCUCCAAGGGCGCCUCUCUUGCCCCCUCCCAAGCCUCGCUUCCACCCAGCUCCUCUUGUACACACGCUUCUAAUAGUAUCGAUCAUCUGCUUCUCAAGGUCCUAACACGUUAAAACAACAAAUCGGAAGAAGGCAAGGGACGUCCUCGAGGUAGGACUGGCUGUCCACUUGGGAGCAGAAGACCAGAAAGACAAAAGAAUUGCAGGCCCCGGGCUGUGUCGUGCGGGGGCAGUUUCUGCAUGCAGACUGUUGAGGAAUGUACGGAUGCGGGACGGAUUUCGGCACUGACCUUCAUUAUGCUUAGCCCGAGCCACUAAGUGAUUAAGUUAGGUUCUGUUUAGACCCCUGUGCCGACCAUCCCUGUGGAGGAGGCGUAUUUUCUCCUGCGCUGUAGCAAAUGUCGGGGCCGAGACCGAAGACACUCACUUGGAAGUUGAACUUUGGGGCGCCUUUCUUCCGCUCGUUGUGCCGGGCCCACGAUGUACCGUCAUCUGGAAAUGGUGGCUCUCGGUGUGAGAACGUGGGGUUUUCUGGGUGGCCUGCCUUCGGAUGCGCCCAGAAGCCGUCAGCUGCCUGCCCUGCCGGCCGAGGGCACGCUGGCCUGGGCGGCCGACCCUUCUGACUUGGAACCUUUGCUCUUCCAUUUAUGAGGCAUGUGACCUUGGGCCCUUAACCUGCUUCCUCUGUACAAGGGUGAUAGUAAAACUACUCUCACUUCGUAAGGGUUUUGUUAAGACUCCGCUUAGGACGGUGCCUGAUCCACGAUCCUUGGUUGGUUUAGCCUGAAAAAGUCAAGGAAGGUAUUACGGGGGAGGCAGCUCGCCAGAAGAGACCGCCUUCUCUGAAAAGAGUAAUAGUGGUAGUAACCCAGACCGAGAUGUCCCGUCGUCAGGGCGGCAGGGAUGCCUGGGCCGUCUGGCUCACCGGGUACGUACUGAUGUUGUGGCGUUGGUAUUUUUCUUUUACGCUUUUUUCCCCAAAGACUGUUCUGCCUUAGAAGAUUAAAAAUAUCUGCUUCCACAUUAGACCCAAUUCAGUUUGAAUAAUUGCAUUUUUAAGGCAAAAGCCUGCUCCUGGGCGUGAGUAGCUUGCACGUCAGACGUUCAGCGGGCAAAUGAAAAACGUGAGUCAUGCAGUGCUUGGCACCUUGGGCUUUUAAUAUUUGGUGGCGAACUUCCUACGGAGAGGAGGACUUUGAAAGUGGAAGUCCUUUCAGAUCCAGAUGGCCAAAGGAUUCUCCGGUGUCGGUUGGGACUAGUGAUUGAAUUUUCUCCUCCUGUUUCCUUGGCCUGCUGGGCCUCUCCGGGGGCCCAGUUUUGUUCAAAAGGGACCGUGUCGGUACAGCGAGGCUGUGUGCCUGGGGAAUGUGCCUACCUCGAAGGAUGAGAACAAUCCAUCCUAGCAGCCUCUCGAAUGCACAGCAGAUAGAAAAGAGAGUGCGUGUAGAGCAACGCGCAAGGCAUCUUUUGGGUUUUUUUUUUUUGUCUCCGGUGGUUGCUGACAGCGACCAGCAGGACCCAGCAGCUUGCCAUGUGACUUACGUGUCAGGCUCUGAGUUUUGUUUUCUUGGCCAGGAUCUGGAAGGCUGUUUCCAAGUAGGUGUUUCUUCCUUGGCGGCAGAUCUGGGCUGUUAUGUAGUCAGCCCUGUCCUUUUCUGAAGGGGAGCCGCCGUGGGGGGAUGGGAGAGGGGCAGAGUGGCUAAUAUUAGCGUUCCCUCCCUCCUGGAUCAUGUAAUCUCUAACGGACUGGCACUGUUGCCUGGAUUUUGAAUGUAGGCAGUUCCUAUAAAGCGCACUUGGGUCUGACUUUUAGGUAUGUAAGAGGAAGACAAAAUUUGGAGGAAAUGGUGAAAUCGUUUUACAGAACAUGCAGCAGCCCCUAGGGAUUUCAGGAGCAAAGUCAGAAAGUUUACUGGGGAGAAAUCUUGGAUGAUAAGGAAAAGGAAUUCCGUGCCUGGUAGGGGCUCGAGGCUCCCCUGAGACAUAGGUGCUCCCGGGUGCCCGGCUGGGCCCGGGGCUACAGGAAAGGCCUCCUGGGCUUUCGGUCCCAGCCGCUCCCGGCAGCCUCUGGGGAAGUGGGAGGCUGGGAGCCCCCUCCACCUGACAUUUCCAGCCCAGGUUGGAGCAGAGCUCCUAGGUUCUGCCUUGAGAAAAUGGUCAGGGUGUUGGGGGGGGGGGGUGGUGCCUGGGCGGCUCAGUCCGUGAAGCGUCCGACUCUUGGUUUCAGCUCAGGUCAUGCUCUCACGGUUCCUGAGUUCGAGCCCCACAUCGGGCUUCGUGCUCACGGUGCGGAGCCAACUUGGGAUUCUCUCCCUCCCUGUCUCUCUGCCCCUCCCUUGCUCACUCUGUCUCUCUCUCUCAAAAUAGAUAAACACUUAAAAAUUUUUUAAGAAAAUGGUCAGGGAGGGCACCUGACUGGCUCAGUUGGAGGAGUGUGCAACCCGUGAUCUUUUGGGUUGUGAGUUUGAGCCCCACACUGGCAUAGACUUUACCUAAAAAUAAGUAAAAUAAAAAAAAAAAAACAAAAACAAAAAAAAGGAAAGGGUAAGGGAUGAGAAGCUUGGGAGGAAAAACAGUUGUGAAGGCAGAAUAAACACUCUUCCAUGUGAUCCUUAUGGUUAUCACGGUGUGGAGUGUUGAAGGAACCAGAAAAAGAAAAAAAAAGAAGGUUGUCCGUCCUUUUGAAUGUAUUUCAUUUUAAAAUAAAAACGGCCUAACGGUAGUCAUUGUUUUUGCAGGUUUUCUUUCUUUCAAAGCACUUUAUUUUCAGUUUUUACCCCGAUUCUAUCAGUAUGAGAAAAGGACCAGCCCCGGCCCCCUGCCCACCUCUCCCCACGGUCAGCACCUGCACCCUGGAACUGUUCUCUGUCUACGCAGCUGGCUUCUGCACCUGGUCCCCAGGUUUUAGCGUGGGCAUUGCUUGCUGGUGGGGUGCCGUGGGACUGGGACCGGCAGGUGCGGUGGAGGCCUCACCAUGGGGCCCCUGCAGAGUGGCCCUGUUUCUCUGCUCAACUGAUUUUCAAGUAUUGGGCAUUUGGAUAGCUACGACUAUGGAAAUAGGAGUUUCUGUGUACAAGGUCUAAUUUACCCCCAAACUCUUUUCCAGCAACACGUAUCUCUUAAAACAUCAGGUAGGUAGGGGUUCAUCUUUUCUUUGGGAGCCCCCUCCUGGUCCCUUGUCCUUCUCCUGCUGGGACGGGCUGCUGCCUGGCACAGGGCCCCCCACUUUCCUCCUGGUCCCCUUCCCCAUCAUCUUGGGCCACCCUUUCCCCCUCCUGCUUUGGAUCCCUGUCUCCUGAAUUCUGCGAUUUUGUCUUUCUCUCAUUUGGGGAAUCUCCUCCAGUAGCUUCCUGAUAAAGAUGGUUGCCGAGCAUAGAAUUCUAGAAUUCCACCCUCGCAAGUCAAAGACGUGGCUCCCCUGGUCAAGGACAGUCUCGUUUCCCAUCCUUUGCCGUUUCUCUGUGACACCGUUUAGAGCCCUGAUCUUCGCCUCCUGUUCUCCGGGAUCGUGACGGUUCUCCUCGGGGAGUCAAAAUGCAUGGCUUUCAUCCACUUUCAACACAUAAAAGAUGUUUUCAACACAGAAAGGCCUUUCACCGCUCUUAAUAGUCAGCUUUUGGAAAGAUGUGGACUAGAAUGAAAAAUGAGGAUGAACACCUCUGAAAUCAGCUGUUUUGAAUUAAAUAAAGCAGAGUGAGGUUGGAGUCAGGUGAAGCGAGAAGAUGGCAGUUAGCCAGUGAGGAUUAAUACGCCGGCUCCUUUAAGCCGAGGGACCGUCUUCUCUGAAAUGUGUGAGGGGUGGACAGGGCUUGUCUGCCCCUCUGCCCCCGACUUCUGCCCCAACAGGGCUGUCGCCCCCUUACCUCGACUUGGCUCAGGAUGACUUCAUCCUUCCCAUGGCUUUGCAUAAUUGCAAGGAGGUGUUCUGGGGGGUUUUUUGCGGGGAUUUUUUCCCCCCUUAGCUGUAGUUCCGGGUGCUUUUCGGAGACCCGCUUCACCGGGCUGGCUUAGCAAGCGAGGAUUCCGGGUCCGGGAGCGAGUUGUCUGAAUGUCCGGGCCGGGUGAGCACCUGGAGGCCCUCUCGGCUCCGUGGGCGUCUGCAGGUGUUUUGGGUGGGUCGAGUGCCCCUGUCCCCUUUCUCCACGCGGAGCAUGGUGGCCUGGAUGUCGCGUAUCCAGCGGGGCCCCUAGCCAGCUUUGCACGGAGACUAUGGGAACGGGACUAAAGUCACGAAAUGUCCUUGCAGGACCUGUUGACCUGACCUCUGUCUCGGUGGAGCAGUGGGGGUCCCUAGUCUGACCCCGAAGGUGGCAGAGGCGACCUUCCCUUGCUCGAGGCCAGCUGUUAAUGAACUUCAACACAGAAGGGAGUUCUCUUCUCCAUUCUGGGUGGGGACUAGUAAAAUGCCUUUGGCCAGCUGGUAGAACUAAGUCCCGGGAAAUUCUGGAACCUCCAGCUCAGUCGACUUGGAGUGAACCGUGUGGACAGCAGUGAAUUUGCCCCCCUACGUGUUUUCUCCAGUCAGGCUCGUCCCUCGUGGUGGGCACCUGGUGCUGGUGGUUUUUACAGGAGCCGAGUGCCCCCUUCCUUGGAGCCAGCCUUUGCCUGGGCGUGGUCUUGUCGGCCACUCAGGGCCAUUCCGGAUAGUGCAGCCCUUCAGGGGUCAGGUCAGGCAUCUGUGGCCCCAGGCCAGCAUUUUAACCGAAUGCCCGGAGUGCACAGCUCCGGCCCUCCACUCAGUGCAGUGCUGGGCCCAGAACAGACUAUUUUGAACACUGGACACUGUGUUUCAGUUGUUACACCCAGGAGCGGGACUCAUUACCAGGGAGCUUGAAUUUAAGAAAAAAAAAAUGCCGUUAUCUAGAUUCCUCAAGGUUACGACAAAGCUGAAGCAGCUUGUUACCAAGCAAAUGGACAGAAGUGUCGCCAGAAGCGUUUCAUUUUCUGUUUUUGGGGUAGUGGUGGCAGGGGUUCCAUCUCAGAGGCUGACUUGGGUUUGCUUCAGUUGGUUUUACUUCCUUCAGGACGCAGGUCUGGUGUUCCUUCCCGCAUAAGAGAGCACCUCCUCCCGGCCCCUCCCUGGACUUUUUCUUCUUCAUUGACUUAUCAGUCACGUGAGCCACUAUUUAUAAAGUCUGUCCCCUCCCUCCCCCACUCCCCCCACCAUGUGAACCGUGGCUGCUUAAUGAAGGUACACCUUGGCCCCUAGUAUGGGAAUGGCUUUUUAAUCCCAAGAAGGUCUUGCUAUUUAUUCCUGGAUCGUGGAAACCAGUACACUGCUCCUUUUUUUUUUUUUUUUUUUCUUUCUCCCCUUGAAGAAAUCCAGUAACCCUAGGCUUUCUAGAUCCAAAGUGGGUCAGAUGGCUAAUGAUUGAAGAUGGAUUGGCGUCCAGUGUCUUUGGAAACCUAAAGCUGGACUCGGGCUGCAUUCGUGUUUCUCUUCCUCUCGUCAAAGCGCCUCCAAUGGCAGCUGACUUUGCAGUCACUGUGCACUGGGGGUAAGCCAAGCCCCAGCCGCUGGAGUCCGGGUGGCCCUGCCUCCACCUGAGCUGGGAGGGAGGCGGGUCUAUGAUUAACUCGGUGAUGUCUUCAAUGUGAUUGCUGGGGGCUGAAAACAUUAACUUUUACAAAAUGAUUUAAAAUUACCAAUUGACCAUAUCCGGGGCUGAACCUGCAUGAUUCAGCUCCUUUUAAAAAUAUCUUUUCUCAACAAAUUGCUUCCUUAACAUUUUAAUUUGUUGAUCAUAAAGGAAGCUUGCCAAAUAUUAGCUGGUCUUUUCCAUUUCCUGCAGCUCCGAGCUUCCCUUAUUUGGCAUAUUUCAGUGGAACUGUAAGGUCACUCCCUAGUUCUCUUCCCAAAGAACUGUAUUUAUUACUGUCAAGUAUUGGCGGGUUUGAUCCAGCUGUCAUCAGAAUGUUUGGAAAUAUUGUUUUUUGCCAGAAUGCUGAUUUAAUGAUCUAAUACUGACAUGGCUUGUUUUCUCCGCUGAUUUGAUAACUUACUUGUUCAAUAAACUCCCCUCUUAGUGA